Molecule: ribosomal RNA, 513 nt
Filed under: uncultured bacterium
Lineage: Bacteria
Description: partial 16S ribosomal RNA
Rfam family: Bacterial small subunit ribosomal RNA
Source: RNAcentral
GACGAACGCUGGCGGCGUGCUUAACACAUGCAAGUCGAACGAAAAGAGGGAAAGAGCUUGCUCUUUCCGGAAUUGAGUGGCAAACGGGUGAGUAACACGUAAACAACCUGCCUUCAGGAUGGGGACAACAGACGGAAACGACUGCUAAUACCGAAUAAGUUCCAAGAGCCGCAUGGCCCAUGGAAGAAAAGGUGGCCUCUACCUGUAAGCUAUCGCCUGAAGAGGGGUUUGCGUCUGAUUAGCUGGUUGGAGGGGUAACGGCCCACCAAGGCGACGAUCAGUAGCCGGUCUGAGAGGAGGAACGGCCACACUGGAACUGAGACACGGUCCAGACUCCUACGGGAGGCAGCAGUGGGGAAGCUUCCGCAAUGGGCGACAGCCUGACGGAGCAACGCCGCGUGAGUGAUGACGGCCUUCGGGUUGUAAAACUCUGUGAUCCGGGACGAAAAGGCAGAGUGCGAAGAACAAACUGCAUUGACGGUACCGGAAAAGCAAGCCACGGCUAACUACGUG